RNAcentral lists this ribosomal RNA (445 nucleotides) under uncultured bacterium. RNAcentral's name for it is "partial 16S ribosomal RNA". It matches the Rfam family "Bacterial small subunit ribosomal RNA", at positions 354 to 796 of the family's 1533-position model. The record is from RNAcentral.
GUGAGGAAUAUUGCGCAAUGGAGGCAACUCUGACGCAGCCAUGCCGCGUGCAGGAAGAAGGCGCUACGCGUUGUAAACUGCUUUUAACCGGGAAGAAACCCCAGGACGUGUCCUGGGUUGACGGUACCGGAGGAAUAAGCACCGGCUAACUUCGUGCCAGCAGCCGCGGUAAUACGAAGGGUGCAAGCGUUAUCCGGAUUCCUUGGGUUUAAAGGGUGCGUAGGCGGAGCGUUAAGUCAGUGGUGAAAUCCUGCAGCUUAACUGUAGACUUGCCAUUGAUACUGGCGCUCUUGAGUGCGCUUGAAGUGGGCGGAAUGUGCCGUGUAGCGGUGAAAUGCUUAGAUAUGGCACAGAAGACCAAUUGCGAAGGCAGCUCACUAAGGCGAUACUGACGCUGAGGCACGAAAGAGUGGGGAUCGAACAGGAUUAGAUACCCGGGUAGUCC